This 465-nucleotide ribosomal RNA is filed under the name Vreelandella stevensii. RNAcentral's name for it is "partial 16S ribosomal RNA". It matches the Rfam family "Bacterial small subunit ribosomal RNA", at positions 338 to 795 of the family's 1533-position model. Lineage: Bacteria; Pseudomonadati; Pseudomonadota; Gammaproteobacteria; Oceanospirillales; Halomonadaceae. The record is from RNAcentral.
CCUACGGGGUGCUUCAGUGGGGAAUAUUGGACAAUGGGCGAAAGCCUGAUCCAGCCAUGCCGCGUGUGUGAAGAAGGCCUUCGGGUUGUAAAGCACUUUCAGUGGGGAAGAAAGCCUUGGGGCUAAUACCCUCGAGGAAGGACAUCACCCACAGAAGAAGCACCGGCUAACUCCGUGCCAGCAGCCGCGGUAAUACGGAGGGUGCGAGCGUUAAUCGGAAUUACUGGGCGUAAAGCGCGCGUAGGCGGUCUGAUAAGCCGGUUGUGAAAGCCCCGGGCUCAACCUGGGAACGGCAUCCGGAACUGUCAGGCUAGAGUGCAGGAGAGGAAGGUAGAAUUCCCGGUGUAGCGGUGAAAUGCGUAGAGAUCGGGAGGAAUACCAGUGGCGAAGGCGGCCUUCUGGACUGACACUGACGCUGAGGUGCGAAAGCGUGGGUAGCAAACAGGAUUAGAUACCCCAGUAGUC